Molecule: transfer RNA, 67 nt
Filed under: bovine gut metagenome
Rfam family: tRNA
About the family: Transfer RNA (tRNA) molecules are approximately 80 nucleotides in length.
Source: RNAcentral
GGAGUAGCUCAGUUGGAUCAGAGCAUCGGAUUGUGGCUCCGAAGGUCGAGGGUUCGAGCCCCUUCUC